This 381-nucleotide ribosomal RNA is filed under the name Erythrobacter sp. Its description in RNAcentral is "bacterial SSU rRNA". It matches the Rfam family "Bacterial small subunit ribosomal RNA", at positions 1 to 410 of the family's 1533-position model. Lineage: Bacteria; Pseudomonadati; Pseudomonadota; Alphaproteobacteria; Sphingomonadales; Erythrobacteraceae. The record is from RNAcentral.
AAACUUGAGAGUUUGAUCCUGGCUCAGAACGAACGCUGGCGGCAUGCCUAACACAUGCAAGUCGAACGAACCCUUCGGGGUUAGUGGCGCACGGGUGCGUAACGCGUGGGAACCUGCCUUUAGGUUCGGAAUAACCAGGAGAAAUCCUGGCUAAUACCGGAUAAUGUCUUCGGACCAAAGAUUUAUCGCCUUUAGAUGGGCCCGCGUUAGAUUAGAUAGUUGGUGGGGUAAUGGCCUACCAAGUCGACGAUCUAUAGCUGGUCUGAGAGGAUGAUCAGCCACACUGGGACUGAGACACGGCCCAGACUCCUACGGGAGGCAGCAGUGGGGAAUAUUGGACAAUGGGCGAAAGCCUGAUCCAGCAAUGCCGCGUGAGUGAUG